RNAcentral lists this ribosomal RNA (269 nucleotides) under uncultured prokaryote. RNAcentral describes it as "partial 16S ribosomal RNA". It matches the Rfam family "Bacterial small subunit ribosomal RNA", at positions 524 to 792 of the family's 1533-position model. The record is from RNAcentral.
UACGUAGGUGGCGAGCGUUGUCUGGAUUUACUGGGCGUAAAGGGAGCGUAGGCGGACUUUUAAGUGAGAUGUGAAAUACCCGGGCUUAACUUGGGUGCUGCAUUUCAAACUGGAAGUCUAGAGUGCAGGAGAGGAGAAUGGAAUUCCUAGUGUAGCGGUGAAAUGCGUAGAGAUUAGGAAGAACACCAGUGGCGAAGGCGAUUCUCUGGACUGUAAUUGACGCUGAGGCUCGAAAGCGUGGGGAGCAAACAGGAUUAGAUACCCGGGUA